This 434-nucleotide ribosomal RNA is filed under the name uncultured bacterium. RNAcentral describes it as "partial 16S ribosomal RNA". It matches the Rfam family "Bacterial small subunit ribosomal RNA", at positions 29 to 507 of the family's 1533-position model. The record is from RNAcentral.
AGCGAACGCUGGCGGCGGGCCUAACACAUGCAGGUCGAACGAACCUUUCGGGGUUUGUGGCGGACGGGUGAGUAACACGUGGGAACGUGCACUUAGGUUCGGAAUAACUCAGGGACACUUAUACUAAUACCGAAUGUGCCCUUCGGGGGAAAGAUUAAUCGCCUUUAGAGCGGCCCGCGUCUGAUUAGCUAGUUGGUUGAGGUAAUGGUUCACCAAGGCGAGGAUCAGUAGUUGGUCUGAGAGAAUGAUCAGACACAUUGGGACGGAGACACGGCCCAAACUCCUACGGGAGGCAGCAGAGGGGAAUCUUGCGCAAUGGGCGAAAGCCUGACGCAGCCAGGACGCGUGAAUGCUGAUGUUCGUAGGAAUGUAAAAUUCUAUCACCGGGGACGAUAAUGACGGUACCCGGAGAAGAAGCCCCGGCUAACUACGUG